This 902-nucleotide long non-coding RNA is filed under the name Equus caballus (horse). Its description in RNAcentral is "lncRNA (ENSECAG00000048644.1)". The record is from RNAcentral. Lineage: Eukaryota; Metazoa; Chordata; Mammalia; Perissodactyla; Equidae.
GUGAGUGUGAGCAGCGGCCCAGCUCACCUGCUUUCCACUCUCAACGCUGCAUUAAGAACAGGGGCCUCUGCUCUCCUGUAACUCAAAUAAAACACAGCCCAUCUGCUUCCACUGCAAGGCACACCUCAAGCUGGAGCCAUAUUCCUGAGAACUGCCAUCAGACUCGAAAACUUUGAGACACACUGAAGCUCUUAAUGCAAACUCUUCUUAAGGGAUGGGGUCUUCCUCUUCUGCCCUGCUCAGAAAACUGAGGCUCAGGAUGCAUGCACGACUAGGGCUCUCCCCGGUCAAGACUUAAGGGUGGCCAUCAGCCUCUGUGGCGGAGGAGCUGUGGCUGCUGCUCUGCUUGGGUUGGGGCUCAUCAUUCCUUCCUCACGGCUGUCGGGAGUGUGAAUUAGACUCCAGAUGUAAAAGGGCUGUGUACAGUGCAAAUUCACAGCGUGAGCAUCAGAGAUUGUUAUUCAGGGAGGAGACUAAAGGGAAAAGGAAGCAGGAAGGAAGUCCCGGCAAGGCCAGGGCAAGGAAACACCCCUGGCUGCUGAAGUGGAUUCAUCUCCAGGCCCUCCCAGCCGCCAUUCUGCUGCCUCCUCACCCGGCCUUGCCCCUUGCCGUGGAGUUGAGGAUGGGCGGGCGGAGCCAGUCACUGCAAACUCGCUCUGGCCUCUUCCCCUGCCUCCUCUCAGGACACUCACAGAACAGGUCAGGGCAGCCUGCCUGGAGCUAGACCCUCCAGAAGGAGAUGGGGCUGCAGAGGGGGAGGUGCUCCUUCCUACAGGGCUGGCAAGACGGCCAUCAGAGAGUCGCCCAAGAGCAAGGGCACUUGCCAAGGUCGCCAAGGUGGGGUGGGAGCCCUGCUCCUCGUGUCAAGAUGUAACAGCUGGGAGCCAUCUGGGACUUCUCCC